Cornus florida is the source of this 1576-nucleotide long non-coding RNA. RefSeq lists it as uncharacterized. NCBI's taxonomy places the organism in Eukaryota, Viridiplantae, Streptophyta, Magnoliopsida, Cornales, Cornaceae. The record is from RefSeq and is a predicted model, not a curated record. The transcript has 2 exons.
UAUAGUCCCAGACAAUCCUAGCCAUCCGUCUGUCCAGAAAAAUUACACCUCAUCAAUAAUCUUUCCACAUCAACUUUACAUACUCUAUAUACAUUGUCAUGUCGGCCGACAAUGAAAUUGUAUUUUUCCGGCGUGGAGUGAACCAAAGUCUCGUCCAGGUUGAGGAAGAUCGUCUGUUUUUUUUUUUUUUUGGGACAUCAACGGUGGGAGGCGAUUUUCGAAGUAAGGUGACCGACAGGUUCGAUCCUCUUCAUGAAAGAGUUUAGAUCACAGCCGAAUUAUGGUUGUGGGAGAUGAUUGAUACUCCUAUUAAAAUAGGGUUCCUGGGAGUUCAGAUUUGGGCGAGUUUGGUGAAGAUCUUGAUCAAGCGACGAUGGCAGGUGUAAAUCGAUUUGUUUAUCGUUGCGACAACGAUGGAAGAGUUGGAUCACGCCAAAGAUUGCAGGUGUCGCAAGCUGAACCAUGCCGCCGAUGUGAAUCAUGUUGCCGUUUCGUGGUCUGAACCACGCCGCCAUCGUGAACCAAGGGUUGUUUCCACUGUAUCAAACUCACCGCCGCCGAUCGUGAGACACUUGGUGUGGUUGUUUCGCCGGAAUACACAGUGGUUGCGAUGGUUGUGAGGGUUUGAAGAAAAUUUGAUGCCGCAAGUGAGAGAAAGAGAGGAAGUUUUAGAGAGGAGUUUAGAGAGAGAAAAAGAGGAAGUUUUAGAGAGAGAGAGAUCAUGCGUCUCCUCUGAUAAGAGCCUUCUACUUUUACACCUAUCCCAUUUCUCAUCCAUUUAGGAGAGAAGCAAGCUUUUUGCUCUCUCUGUGUUAUUCAUUUGAUUUCUUGGGUUUUGUAGCAGUUAGAGAUGGCUGUUCAGGCACAGUUGUAUUUUGAAAAUCUGGGUUGGCUUACGAGCUCUGUUUUGGGGAUUGAAGAUGGAGCUAAUUUCAAUUUUCAAGAACACCCACAACAGUAAGUGUUUCAAUCUAUUGGUUUCAAUAGUAAUAAUAAUAAUCAAGGGGCUUCUUGCUCAUCGAGUGUUGAUCAUAACCAUCCAACAAUGGAGUUUUCUGUCUUUGGCUGCCGAGCUCGAGAAGCAGAGGCAAGAAAUCGACUGGAUUCUUCGUCUACAGAGUGAGAGACUGAGGACAACUCUUCAGGAAGAAACAAGGCAACAAAUUGGGUUUUGCUGAAGCGAAAGCGAAAACGAUGGGUUUUAUGUGGGAGAAAGAGGAAGACUUGGUGACUGCGAAGAAGAGGACAAUGGAGCUCGAGGAGUGCUUGAGAAGGCAGGAGCUGGAGAUGGAAGUGUGGUAGAGAAUCGCGAAAGAGAACGAAGCUAUCCAACAAACUAGAGAGAGAGUCUCUCUCUCCUCCCCAGAUGCGGAGUCCUGUGAUUCAUCUAAUUACAAAGUGGUAAACAGUGAGGCAAAACAGAGCAAAACAAUGGCGCACAGGCUCUGCAAUGCUCGAAGCUCGUGCACUGUGUUUUAUUUCCCAAAAUGACUUAGGUCAAUGUUUAUUUGGGUAAUUUCAACUUAUUCAAUUUUUUUAUUAUUAUUGAAUAAAGAAUAUUGGGAGUAUUUUCAUA